AGUAUUCAAAAUAUUAGAUUUAUUAAAAAGGUAACAGCUCCUUGCUUCUACUGCUCCAUCUUCAGCAACCUACUUUGGUUUUCAGCUCUACAGAAGCAUUUCUUUCCUUUCUCAAAAGAACAGUCGACCAUGCAGCUUUACCUGCCUCACUGAGGGAUACAUCUGACUGUAUAGAUCUCUUAGAACUAAAAUGAGCUGACUGCCUCCAGUAAUUUGUGACCUCGUACUUGGAGACGGAACUCAAUUAAUUAUGUGCCAAACAGUUAUUCUACAUAUCUCCCCUCCCCCACCCGCUUUUAAAAAUAGUUGCCUAACAGAUUGCAGAAGACUGUGCCCUGGGCUUUUCUGGAACACAGCUUCUUAGUGUUAUUUCUUAGAAUAUAAAUCAAGGACAAGGUUUAUAAUCAAAUCUCAUAGGUUUAGAAGUCAUUUUUGUUUAGAGAUCAACAUGGUUUGAUCUCAAGCAGUUCUUGGGACUAGAGGAAACAUUGUCAAUUCAUGUUGUUUGCCUUAAAAAAAAAAAAGCAAACAAAACUUGAAGGUCUGCAUUCCAGAUUUGUCUUAACCAGUGACAAUUAAUGAAAACAUCUGUCCAGUUCCCUCUUUAAAGAUCUUCAGAGGAGGAAUUCUGGGCAUGUGAAGAAUCAAGUUGACAGUGCAGACCUCCAUCUAUAGCACAGCAAGGUCUGGGCGGGGGCAUGGCAGGGAGCUUAGUUCUGGCUUCCUGCUAAGAAAUCAGUAGACGGCAUUUACUCUUCGUUUUGUGGUGGUUUUCCACAAAAUUUAUAAGAAAGCAAAAGGAAGUUUCUAAACUACUGCCAGAUGGCAAGUACGUGGAGCUCUGAAGCAAGGCUAAAACCCAAUCAAAAAAAGAAAAAACACAUUUAGGACAAGACAGUUGGGCCUUUUUUGAGAAUACCUGAAAUUGAAGCAUUUGCAAAACUUGUGUGAAGACAUAGGCAGAGUGUUUAUACAAAAUAAUUUCUUGAGUGGAGAUUUAGGAAUCAAAGUCAAACAUGAGUGACAAAGAUGACCUCAAAAUGGUCUCCUAAUUUCUGCCUAUUCUCUGCUCUUGUUAGCUGUAUUUCUUUCCUGUUCAGGCUAUUUUUGAAGAGCUGGCUUCCUUUUCCCCACCUUUGGUACAGAUCAACUGUUGCUGUACCCCCUGCCCUACCCCAGGACGAAUGGUGGCUUUUCAAAAUGUCCGUUGUAGGAAAACAAAACCUGUAUAUAUUAAGGUCUUGUUUCAUCUGUGAUAUGGUGUCUUUUCCAUUCUCACUGAAGCUGCCCUGAAUUAGCUUUACUGACUUUUUCAAAAAACGCCUAACAGUUCUACCUACCCGUAAUCACUCCUUGCUCUGGUACUUUCUGUAUGAACCAGGAACAUUUUCAAAACAAAACAGACUCCUGGUAUUUUCGAGAUUGUCCUGCUACAUAGCAGUGGUGUUUAUCAACAUUUCCCAUUCUGUUGAUUUCAUGCUCAUACAUUAAUAAGGCACUUUCAAAUCACAAAAGCUUAAUUUCUUGAGAAUCGUAUCUUGUUCAGUAUUCCUGUCUCAUAAAGUCAGCCUCUAUAGAAGGCACAUUCUCAAGUACAGGAAUACAUUUUAUACUCAACCAGACAGCAAGCAAGAGAAGGUGUCAGGUAAGUUCCUUGGUUCCUCUGCUGUGACUUGGAUGGUUUAAUAAGAUUUGGGUUGACAUCUCCACGAUUGCUUGAGUAACAACAAUGCUGUCAUUUGUAUCCUGACCAGAGCCUUGCGCUUAAAGUUGAUUUUCUAGUUGAACUGAUAGAUCUGUUUGUCGCUUCUUACCCAGUCCCUCUUCUUACUAUCUCUGCACAUUUACAGAAUUUAAAUGGCGUGGCCUGUGAGCAUGAAACAGAAAGCCAGUGGACCACAAGGGGACUGAACCCCUGACACUGGGCUCAUUAGCUCCAUUCUUAAACUAGGACAGCCAAACAGCCAGUUAGUGAUUCACUUGGCAGCAGUGGCCAGACUCGUGCUGAUCUAGUCCAGAACAGGAAAGUAUGUCAGAAGCAGAGGGCAGCUAUCAAGAGCCAAGACCCCCUAUACCCAUUAGGCCAGUGAUUUUUAGCAUCACACUGUUUCACACUGAACUUCAGAAUCACCAACAAUCUUUUAAUAAUGCGGCUUUUACCCUCCCAACAGAAGAGGAAAAUAUUUGCCACUUAUAUUAUUUUUUAAUGUUUGAGAAAACUUGAACAUUUUUUCAACUUUAAUCAUACUGUGUUCUGCAGCUAAAUUUUUGGUUCAGCUUUGGGUUGAGAUUCAUCCAUGUUGUGUUUUGGAAUUUAUCCCCUGUUUUGAUUCCAUUUUAUGACUGUAUUGUAAAUCAUUCUACUCUGAUUAUUCUAUAUUCGAUUAUUUCCAGUUUUUUGUUAUUAUAAGUAGUUCUGCUAUGCAUAUUCUUGUGCAGGUCUCCUGUUCUGCACAUGCAAGAGUUGCUCCAGGGUACAUACAUACCUAGGAGUAGAACUGCAGGAUUGUAGGAUAUAUCACCAAUUUUACCAGAUGAUGUCCAAAUGUCCACUUUCCUCAGUGUCACAUAUAUAUGCUGUCUUCUGUCACCUUUUAAGAAUUUUACAGUUUUUCCUGUCACAUUUAAGUCUGAAAUUCAUUUGGAAUUGAUGUGGACUACUACACACAUGUAUGAAGGCACUGGUCCAAAUUCCUUUGUUUCCUAAAGAUAAUCACCAGCACCAUUCAUUGGGAAGUCCGUCUGUUUCGUGAUCUGCAAGGCUGGCUCUCAGAAAUUGAGGGUCCAUAUGUGUGCAUGUUUGUUUCUCAAGUCUCUGUUUGGACUUUGGUUAAUUUUACUUACCCCAGUGCCAAAAUUACCCUUUGAGUACAGUGUGAUAUGACUUCUUGCCAUCUGGUGAGGUUACUCCCCCCACCUGUUGGUCUUUAGGGAGUGUUUUCCAAAUGUUCUUUCAAAGAGUUAGCUGAAUUUAUAAUUAGGCCAGGAAGAUCGAAACAAAGUUUAGAUAUUUUGAUCAGUAAACCUGAAAGUAAAUGUGUUUUACCUGAAUUUUAUUUGGUCAUAAAAAUAAAACAAAAUUUAGAUUUGAGAUGAGAAUUUGUGCUCAUAAAAAGCAUUUUCUUUAUUGUGCAGUAUCUGCAAACCAUAUUAAUACAGGUAUGUCAAACUUGUUUGGAUUGGUUGUGCUGUUUGUAUCACAAAUUUAAUUAACAUUGGCCUUGGACCACUUCCCUGAGCAGUAAUACAGAUAAUGCCUGGCCAAUGAAGCCACAUGAGACUCUAACUAGAUUUCAUGAAAUAAAGGGUCUCAAAUUAUUUUAAGUGCUUAUAAUUUUUAGUAAUAUGCAGGCCUAUGCACAAAUACCAAAAGGGAAACUCAACUAAGAGUGCAUGUGUGCUGGUGUUUACUAAGGGAAUAGAGAAUUUUAAUGUACACAUUCAGCCUGGGAAACUUUGUAUUGUUUAUUAAAUAAACCAGAGAAAGCAAGAGAGGAAUCAGCACAGUGGGAAAUAAGGUCAGCAGAUAAGGCUUUUUUUUGCUACUCUGUUUCCUGUUCUGGGUGGCUCUGCAGUCCACUCUGAGAAUUUCAUUCCUUUUACCCAGAUUGAAAAUUUCCCAUUUCCUGUCGCUCUCUACCACCUCCCCCAUUCUUGAGCUGCCAAACCAAAGCAGUUCAAACAGAUAAAGACACAGCUAAUUUGUUGAAGAGCACAGAGCUUUCGGUAAACAGCUUCUUCCUGGAUAUUACUGUGUAGAGAUGACCCGACCCUUAUCAGCAGAUUUAAGAAUUGACCAAGUUAUUAUCGUACCAUAUCUGAUGGGUCUGUGCUCAGCAGGGCAACUCCUCCUUGCCUUCUUCACAACAAAAAGAAGGAAUGACUACAAUAGCUGCAAAAAUGCUUUAUUGGGGGGUGGCAGGAUUUUUUUUAAUCCGUCUACAUGUUUGGAAUAAAGCAGAGCAGAUGAUAGCUGGGUAGGGUUAUGCACGUAGGAAAGGCUCCUGUGAGUAUCAGUGACGGUUCUGGCACAAAGAGCUGAAUUCAGAAAGCCCUGUUCUCUUAUGAAUUAUCAAAUUGGUGAAGAUGUUGCCAUGUUUUAAGUGAUUAGUCUAAAACUAGCUAGACCCCGUCAAACUUGACUAUAUUGACUAUACAGGGUAGAAACAGUUAUGAAAGGAAUAGGAUAGGAAAGUGUCUUAGGGGAUCAAAGAAGUUUUGAGUUUAAAAACCUAGCAUUUCACUGGGAAAUCACUAUGCUCAAUGUAGGUGGAGUAUUGGGUACUUAAACAUUUUCAAUUCUGUGGUAUUUUUUUCCGGAUAAAUUACAGUCAGAAACCGAGGUUGGUCUGAUCCUACCACAUAACUAACUGGUAACUAAUUAAAAGCACUUGAGUAACACUUUUUUUUUUGAAGUACAGUUGACAGUGUUACAUUAGCUUCAGGUGUACAACAGAGUGAUUUGGCCAAGUCUUACAUUCUUGCCAUCCUCACCACAAGCGCAGCUGCCAUCUGCCCCCUCACAGCACUAUUACAACCCCUGUGCUGCACCCUUUGCCCCCAAGAUUCAUCCUGUAACUGGAGGCCUGGAUCUCCCACUCCCCUUCAUCCGUCCCUUUAUCCUCCUCUCCUCUGGCAACCAUCAGUUUGUUCUCUGUACUUAAGGGUCUGUUUCUGCUUGUUUAUUCAUUUCCUUUGUUUUUUUAGAUUCCACAUGUGAGUCAUAUGAUACUUGUCUUUCUCAGGCUGAUUUAUUUCACUUAGCAUAAUAUCCUCUAGGUCUGUCCAUGCUGUUGCAAAUGGUAAGAUGUGUCAUCCUUUUUUGUGGCUCACUGAAUAACUCCAUUGUGUGUAUGUGUAUACACACCACAUCUUUAUCCAUUUGUCUAUUGAUGGGUACUUUGGUUGCUUCUGUAUCUUGGCUGUUGUAAAUAAUGCUGCAAUAAACAUAAGGGUGGAUAUAUCUUUUUAGAAUUAAUGUUUUUGUUUUCUUUGGGUAAAUACCCAGUAGUGGAUUUACUGGAUCAUAUGGGAUUUCUAUUUAAAAAAUUCUUAAGGACCCUCCAGUUUGCAUUCCCACUAACAGUGCAUGAGGAUUCCUUUCUCUCCAAAUCCUCUUCAACACUUGUUUCUUGAGUUUUUGAGUCUAACCACUCUGACAGGUGUGAGAUGACAUCUCAUAGUGGUUCUGGUUUGCAAAGACUUUUAACAUAAAAAGGAACAAAAACUAUGGUGUACAGAACACAAAAAGUAAAAUCUGCCACCUGUUGCUUUUCGGCUUGUAUAAGAGCAGAGGGUCAAGAACAGCAAGUGGCUUUUCUUCUACAAAGUUUGUGUCUCUAGGGGAUGGAUAUGUUAACUAACUAGAUGGUAGAAAUCCUUUCAUAUUAUAUGCAUUUACCAAAUCACCAUGAUGUACACUUUAUUUUUUUUUUAAGAUUUAUUUAAGAGAGAGAGAGAGAGAGCAUGAGCAAGAGGAGGAGAGGGAGAAGGAGAAAGAAUCUCAAGCAGAUUAGCAGAUUCCCUGCUGAACACAGAGCCCAACACAGAACUUGAUCUCUUGACCCUGAGAUCACAAUCUGAACAGAAAUUAAGAAUAAAACGCUUAACUAACUGCACCACUCAGGUGCCCCUACACUUUAAGUAUCUUACAAUUUUUUUCAGUUAUGCCUUGAUAAAGCUGAAAAAGAAAAUAAGUUCAUGUCUCUAGGUCCCUGACCUUUGAUGUUCAAGGUUGUGUAAAAAAUAAUUUGUACCAAGUUAAAAUUACUGAUUAACUAUAGCAUCAGCAGGUCUCUAACUUGCUGAUUUAAGAUAAAGAAUUGGAAGAGAGCUUGGUUGGUCUCCUGUCCCCAGUGCUUUCAUGUUCAUGUGAAACUGAGAGUGUAAACCUGAAACUGUGUCUCUCAAGGCCCUGGCCAGGGUUCUUUUCAUGGACUGAUGUCUCUGUAUAGAGACCACUACCAAUGGGGUUCCUCAAGAUUCAUGCAGGGUUUGUUUUUAACACUACUGGUACAGAGAAGGAAAUCUGGGUUCCACUUCUAGUCUGCCUUGGUACUAAUUAGUUAUAGCCAUGUUGCUUUGAACAGGUCACUUGGCUGGAGUCUCGUCUAGAAAAUGAGGAUGGAUUGUCUAAGUCUUUAGAUCUUGUACAUGAACGCACUCAGCAUGUCUCUUAAAGCAUAGCUGGUGUGCAUGUCUGUUUCCUCUAUAUUAAACUAUGCUGAGGUUGUAAAAAUUCUAAGUUGUCCUAAUUCCUUGAUUUCUAAAAUAGCCAUUAUUAUAUUCAAUGAACAUAUACGUGUUAACUGAUCCUAAGUAGAAACUAUGAGGCUCUGGGAUGCCUGGGAGGCUCAGGUGGUUAAGCAUCUGCCUUUGGCUCAAGGCGUGAUCCUGGGAUCGAGUCCCAACACAUCAGGCUCCUUGCAUGGAGCCUGCUUCUCCCUCUGCCUGUGUGUCUCUGCCUCUCUCUCUCUCUCUCUGUGUCUCUCAUGAAUAAAUAAAAUCUAAAAAAAAAAAAAAAAA
This 6525-nucleotide long non-coding RNA is filed under the name Canis lupus familiaris (dog). RNAcentral describes it as "lncRNA (ENSCAFG00000050472.1)". Lineage: Eukaryota; Metazoa; Chordata; Mammalia; Carnivora; Canidae. The record is from RNAcentral.